This 448-nucleotide ribosomal RNA is filed under the name uncultured archaeon. Its description in RNAcentral is "bacterial SSU rRNA". It matches the Rfam family "Archaeal small subunit ribosomal RNA", at positions 998 to 1445 of the family's 1478-position model. The record is from RNAcentral.
CCGUCGCCAGCUCGUGCCGUGAGAUGUCCUGUUAAGUCAGGUAACGAGCGAGAUCCCUGCCACUAGUUGCUAUCAUUAUUCUCAGGAAUAGUGGGGCGAAUUAGUGGGACUGCCGUUGUUAAAACGGAGGAAGGAAGGGGCCACGGCAGGUCAGUAUGCCCCGAAACUCUGGGGCCACACGCGGGCUGCAAUGGUAGCGACAAUGAGCUCCAAACUCGAAAGAGAGUGGCAAUCUCUAAACGCUACCACAGUUAUGACUGAGGGCUGUAACUCGCCCUCACGAAUAUGGAAUCCCUAGUAACCGCGUGUCAUUACCGCGCGGUGAAUACGUCCCUGCUCCUUGCACACACCGCCCGUCGUUUCAUCGAAGUUUGCUUUUAGUGAGGUGAUGUUUAAUUGACAUUAUCGAACUUGAGGUAAGUGACGAGGGAAAAGUCGUAACAAGGUA